AGCAGCCGCGGUAAUUCCAGCUCCAAUAGCGUAUAUUAAAGUUGUUGCAGUUAAAAAGCUCGUAGUUGAAUUUCGGGACCAAUAUGUCGGUCGUGCCUCGGUACGUACUGGCAUCGUUGGUUUCUCCCUUCUGACGAACCAUGAUGUCAUUUAUUUGGUGUCGUGGGGAAUCAGGACUGUUACUUUGAAAAAUUAGAGUGUUUAAAGCAGGCUCACGCUUGAAUACAUUAGCAUGGAAUAAUGAAAUAGGACGUUUGAUUCUAUUUGUUGGUUUCUAGGAUCGACGUAAUGAUUAAUAGGGAUAGUUGGGGGCAUUAGUAUUCAAUUGUCAGAGGUGAAAUUCUUGGAUUUAUUGAAGACUAACUACUGCGAAAGCAUUUGCCAAGGAUGUUUUCAUUAAUACAAGAACGAAAGUUAGGGGAUCGAAGACGAUCAGA
RNAcentral lists this ribosomal RNA (437 nucleotides) under uncultured Glomus. Its description in RNAcentral is "SSU rRNA". It matches the Rfam family "Eukaryotic small subunit ribosomal RNA", at positions 569 to 1012 of the family's 1831-position model. The record is from RNAcentral. Lineage: Eukaryota; Fungi; Glomeromycota; Glomeromycetes; Glomerales; Glomeraceae.